This is a non-coding RNA of Caerostris extrusa, 1188 nucleotides long. NCBI's taxonomy places the organism in Eukaryota, Metazoa, Arthropoda, Arachnida, Araneae, Araneidae. The record is from the annotation of a GenBank genome assembly.
CCAAUGGAUCCUCGUUAAAUCUUUUAACGAGGAUCUAUUGUGGGGCAAGUCUGGUGCCAGCAGCCGUGGUAAUUCCAGCUCCAAUAGCGUAUACUAAAGUUGUUGCGGUUAAAAAGCUCGUAGUUGGAUCUCAGCUCGAGCCGGGCGGUCCGCCUACCGGUGGUCACUGUCUGUGCUCGGCGUUAUCGCCGGUUUCCCCCUUAUGAUCUUCACCGGUUGUCUCGGGUGACCGGCAAGUUUACUUUGAAAAAAUUAGAGUGUUCAAAGCAGGCGCGACGCCUGAAUAAUGGUGCAUGGAAUAAUGGAAUAUGACCUCGGUUCUAUUUUGUUGGUUUUCGGAACACGAGGUAAUGAUUAAGAGGGACAGACGGGGGCAUUCGUAUUGCGACGCUAGAGGUGAAAUUCUUGGACCGUCGCAAGACGAACUACUGCGAAAGCAUUUGCCAAGAAUGUUUCCAUUAAUCAAGAACGAAAGUUAGAGGUUCGAAGGCGAUCAGAUACCGCCCUAGUUCUAACCAUAAACGAUGCCAGCCAGCGAUCCGGCUGUGUUCCUCAAAUGACACGCCGGGCAGCUUCCGGGAAACCAAAGCUUGUGGGUUCCGGGGGAAGUAUGGUUGCAAAGCUGAAACUUAAAGGAAUUGACGGAAGGGCACCACCAGAAAUGGAGCCUGCGGCUUAAUUUGACUCAACACGGGAAAACUUACCCGGCCCGGACACAGGAAGGAUUGACAGAUUAAGAGCUCUUUCUUGAUUCUGUGGGUGGUGGUGCAUGGCCGUUCUUAGUUGGUGGGGCGACUUGUCUGGUUAAUUCCGAUAACGAACGAGACUCUAGCCUACUAAAUAGACGUCCAGAUCCUCUUGCGUCGGACGUUCUUCUUAGAGGGACAGGCGGCGUUUAGCCGCACGAGACAGAGCAAUAACAGGUCUGGGAUGCCCUUAGAUGUCCGGGGCCGCACGCGCGCUACAUUGAAGGAAUCAGCGUGUUCUCUCCCUGUCCGUCAGGACUGGGUAACCCGUUAAACCUCCUUCGUGCUUGGGAUAGGGGCUUGCAAUUGUUCCCCUUUAACGAGGAAUUCCCUGUAAGCGCCAGUCAUAAGCUCGUGUUGAUUACGUCCCUGCCCUUUGUCCACACCGCCCGUCACUACUACCGAUUGAAUGAUUUAGUGAGGUCUUUGGAUUGGCCUUCGU